Molecule: ribosomal RNA, 468 nt
Filed under: uncultured bacterium
Lineage: Bacteria
Description: partial 16S ribosomal RNA
Rfam family: Bacterial small subunit ribosomal RNA
Source: RNAcentral
GACGAACGCUGGCGGCGUGCUUAACACAUGCAAGUCGAACGGAAAGGCCCUGCUUUUGUGGGGUGCUCGAGUGGCGAACGGGUGAGUAACACGUGAGUAACCUGCCCUUGACUUUGGGAUAACUUCAGGAAACUGGGGCUAAUACAGGAUAGGAGAUCCUGCUGCAGGGUGGGGGUUGGAAAGUUUCGGCGGUUGGGGAUGGAUUCGCGGCUUAUCAGCUUGUUGGUGGGGGAGGGGUUUACCAAGGCUUUGACGGGUAGCCGGCCUGAGAGGGUGACCGGCCACAUUGGGACUGAGAUACGGCCCAGACUCCUACGGGGGGCAGCAGUGGGGAAUAUUGCACAAUGGGCGGAAGCCUGAUGCAGCAACGCCGCGUGCGGGAUGACGGCCUUCGGGUUGUAAACCGCUUUCGCCUGUGACGAAGCGUGAGUGACGGUAAUGGGUAAAGAAGCACCGGCUAACUACGUG